This 498-nucleotide ribosomal RNA is filed under the name uncultured bacterium. Its description in RNAcentral is "partial 16S ribosomal RNA". It matches the Rfam family "Bacterial small subunit ribosomal RNA", at positions 28 to 507 of the family's 1533-position model. The record is from RNAcentral.
GACGAACGCUGGCGGCGUGCCUAAUACAUGCAAGUCGAACGAGAGCGACCGGUGCUUGCACUGGCCAAUCUAGUGGCGAACGGGUGAGUAACACGUGGGUAACCUGCCCAUCAGAGGGGGAUAACAUCCGGAAACGGAUGCUAAAACCGCAUAGGUCUUCGAACCGCAUGGUUUGAAGAGGAAAAGAGGCGCAAGCUUCUGCUGAUGGAUGGACCCGCGGUGCAUUAGCUAGUUGGUGAGGUAACGGCUCACCAAGGCCGUGAUGCAUAGCCGACCUGAGAGGGUGAUCGGCCACAUUGGGACUGAGACACGGCCCAAACUCCUACGGGAGGCAGCAGUAGGGAAUCUUCCGCAAUGGACGCAAGUCUGACGGAGCAACGCCGCGUGAGUGAAGAAGGUUUUCGGAUCGUAAAACUCUGUUGUUAGAGAAGAACAAGUGCUAGAGUAACUGUUAGCGCCUUGACGGUAUCUAACCAGAAAGCCACGGCUAACUACGUG